This 811-nucleotide ribosomal RNA is filed under the name uncultured Sphingobacterium sp. Its description in RNAcentral is "bacterial SSU rRNA". It matches the Rfam family "Bacterial small subunit ribosomal RNA", at positions 696 to 1511 of the family's 1533-position model. The record is from RNAcentral. Lineage: Bacteria; Pseudomonadati; Bacteroidota; Sphingobacteriia; Sphingobacteriales; Sphingobacteriaceae.
UGUUCUAGAAACUCCGAUUGCGAAGGCCAGCUCACCUAAGCUGGUAUUGACGCUGAUGCACGAAAGCCGUGGGGAUCGAACAGGAUUUAGAUACCCUUGGUAGUCCACGCCCUAACCGAUGAUAACUCGAUGUUGGGCGAUAGACAGCCCAGCGUCUUAGCGAAAGCGUUAAGUUAUCCACCUGGGGAGUACGCCCGCAAGGGUGAAACUCAAAGGAAUUGACGGGGGCCCCGCACAAGCGGAGGAGCAUGUGGUUUAAUUCGAUGAUACGCGAGGAACCUUACCCGGGCUUGAAAGUUAGUGAAGGUAGCAGAGACGCUACCGUCCUUCGGGACACGAAACUAGGUGCUGCAUGGCUGUCGUCAGCUCGUGCCGUGAGGUGUUGGGUUAAGUCCCGCAACGAGCGCAACCCCUAUGUUUAGUUGCCAGCAUGUAGUGGUGGGGACUCUAAACAGACUGCCUGCGCAAGCAGCGAGGAAGGUGGGGACGACGUCAAGUCAUCAUGGCCCUUACGUCCGGGGCUACACACGUGCUACAAUGGAUGGUACAGCGGGCAGCUAGCUGGCAACAGCAUGCUAAUCUCUAAAAGCCAUUCACAGUUCGGAUUGGGGUCUGCAACUCGACCCCAUGAAGUUGGAUUCGCUAGUAAUCGCGUAUCAGCAAUGACGCGGUGAAUACGUUCCCGGGCCUUGUACACACCGCCCGUCAAGCCAUGAAAGUUGGGGGUACCUAAAGCAUGUGACCGCAAGGAGCGUGUCAGGGUAAAACCGAUAAUUGGGGCUAAGUCGUAACAAGGUAACCAAGGGCGAAU